RNAcentral lists this ribosomal RNA (606 nucleotides) under uncultured Actinomycetes bacterium. RNAcentral describes it as "bacterial SSU rRNA". It matches the Rfam family "Bacterial small subunit ribosomal RNA", at positions 252 to 866 of the family's 1533-position model. Lineage: Bacteria; Bacillati; Actinomycetota; Actinomycetes. The record is from RNAcentral.
GUGGGGUAGUGGCCUACCAAGGCGACGACGGGUAGCCGGCCUGAGAGGGUGACCGGCCACACUGGGACUGAGACACGGCCCAGACUCCUACGGGAGGCAGCAGUGGGGAAUAUUGCGCAAUGGGCGGAAGCCUGACGCAGCGACGCCGCGUGGGGGAUGACGGCCUUCGGGUUGUAAACCUCUUUCAGCAGGGACGAAGCCGCGAGGUGACGGUACCUGCAGAAGAAGCACCGGCCAACUACGUGCCAGCAGCCGCGGUAAUACGUAGGGUGCAAGCGUUGUCCGGAAUUAUUGGGCGUAAAGAGCUCGUAGGCGGUUGGUCGCGUCGGCUGUGAAAACCCGGAGCUCAACUCCGGGCCUGCAGUCGAUACGGGCCGACUCGAGUGUUGCAGGGGAGACUGGAAUUCCUGGUGUAGCGGUGAAAUGCGCAGAUAUCAGGAGGAACACCGGUGGCGAAGGCGGGUCUCUGGGCAACAACUGACGCUGAGGAGCGAAAGCGUGGGGAGCGAACAGGAUUAGAUACCCUGGUAGUCCACGCCGUAAACGUUGGGCGCUAGGUGUGGGGGCCAUUCCACGGUCUCCGUGCCGCAGCUAACGCAUUAAGCG